Coregonus clupeaformis (lake whitefish) is the source of this 1047-nucleotide long non-coding RNA. RefSeq lists it as uncharacterized. NCBI's taxonomy places the organism in Eukaryota, Metazoa, Chordata, Actinopteri, Salmoniformes, Salmonidae. The record is from RefSeq and is a predicted model, not a curated record. The transcript has 3 exons.
GUGGGUGUCCGUUACCUGUCGGGCAGUGUGAGGGAGAGGUUGGUGUGGGUGUCCGUUACCUGUCGGGCAGUGUGAGGGAGAGGUUGGUGUGGGUGUCUGUUACCUGUCGGGCAGUGUGAGGGAGAGGUUGGUGUGGGUGUCUGUUACCUGUCGGGCAGUGUGAGGGAGAGGUUGGUGUGGGUGUCUGUUACCUGUCGGGCAGUGUGAGGGAGAGGUUGGUGUGGGUGUCCGUUACCUGUCGGGCAGUGUGAGGGAGAGGUUGGUGUGGGUGUCUGUUACCUGUCGGGCAGUGUGAGGGAGAGGUUGGUGUGGGUGAGGGAGAGGUUGGUGUGGGUGAGGGAGAGGUUGGUGUGGGUGUCCGUUACCUGUCGGGCAGUGUGAGGGAGAGGUUGGUGUGUGUGAGGGAGAGGUUGGUGUGGGUGAGGGAGAGGUUGGUGUGGGUGUCCGUUACCUGUCGGGCAGUGUGAGGGAGAGGUUGGUGUGGGUGUCCGUUACCUGUCGGGCAGUGUGAGGGAGAGGUUGGUGUGGGUGUCCGUUACCUGUCGGGCAGUGUGAGGGAGAGGUUGGUGUGGAUGUCUGUUACCUGUCGGGCAGUGUGAGGGAGAGGUUGGUGUGGGUGUCCGUUACCUGUCGGGCAGUGUGAGGGAGAGGUUGGUGUGGGUGUCUGUUACCUGUCGGGCAGUGUGAGGGAGAGGUUGGUGUGGGUGUCUGUUACCUGUCGGGCAGUGUGAGGGAGAGGUUGGUGUGGGUGUCCGUUACCUGUCGGGCAGUGUGAGGGAGAGGUUGGUGUGGGUGUCUGUUACCUGUCGGGCAGUGUGAGGGAGAGGUUGGUGUGGGUGAGGGAGAGGUUGGUGUGGGUGUCUGUUACCUGUCGGGCAGUGUGAGGGAGAGGUUGGUGUGGGUGAGGGAGAGGUUGGUGUGGGUGUCUGUUACCUGUCGGGCAGUGUGAGGGAGAGGUUGGUGUGGGUGUCCGUUACCUGUCGGGCAGUGUGAGGGAGAGGUUGGUGUGGGUGAGGGAGAGGUUGGUGUGGGUGAGGGAGAGGUUGG